GACGAACGCUGGCGGCGUGCUUAACACAUGCAAGUCGAACGGAAAGGCCCUGCUUUUGUGGGGUGCUCGAGUGGCGAACGGGUGAGUAACACGUGAGUAACCUGCCCUUGACUUUGGGAUAACUUCAGGAAACUGGGGCUAAUACCGGAUAGGAGCUCCUGCUGCAUGGUGGGGGUUGGAAAGUUUCGGCGGUUGGGGAUGGACUCGCGGCUUAUCAGCUUGUUGGUGGGGUAGUGGCUUACCAAGGCUUUGACGGGUAGCCGGCCUGAGAGGGUGACCGGGCACGGUGGGACUGAGAUGCGGCCCAGACUCCAACGGGAGGGAGCAGUGGGGAAUAUGGCGCAAUAGGCGGAAGCCUGAGGCAGCAACGCCGCGUGCGAGAUGAAGGCCUUCAGGGUGUAAACCGCUUUCGCCUGUGACGGAGCGUGAGUGACGGUAAUGGGUAAAGAAGCACCGGCUAACUACGU
Molecule: ribosomal RNA, 467 nt
Filed under: uncultured bacterium
Lineage: Bacteria
Description: partial 16S ribosomal RNA
Rfam family: Bacterial small subunit ribosomal RNA
Source: RNAcentral